ACUCGGCGUACCGCUCAGUAACACGUGGGUAACCUGCCCUAUGCUGGGGGAUAACCUCGGGAAACUGAGAAUAAUACCCCAUAGUUCACCACGCCUGGAACGGUGGGUGGAUGAAAGCUCCGGCGGCAUAGGAUGGGCCUGCGGCGUAUCAGGUUGUAGGGGGUGUAAUGUACCCUCUAGCCAUCUACGCGUACGGGUGUUGGGAGACAUCGCCCGGAGAUGGAUUCUGAGACACGAAUCCAGACCCUACGGGGUGCAGCAGGCGCGAAAACUUGGCAAUGCGAGCAAUCGUGACCAGGGAACUCCAAGUGCAUCGGGUAAGACCGAUGCUUUUCUUGACUCUUCAAAGGUCUUGGAAUAAGGGGUGGGUAAGGACGGUGCCAGCCGCCGCGGUAAUACCGGCGCCUCAAGUGGUAGUCGCUUUUAUUGGGCCUAAAACGUCCGUAGCCGGUUUGGUACAUUCGUGGGUAAAUCAAGGCGCUCAACGUCUUGAAUUCUGCGAGCACGGCCAGACUUGGGACCGGGUGAGGUGUGGGGUACUCUCAGGGUAGGGGUAAAAUCCUGUCAUCCUGAGAGGACCACCUGUUGCGAAGGCGCCACACUA
Molecule: ribosomal RNA, 604 nt
Filed under: uncultured archaeon
Lineage: Archaea
Description: bacterial SSU rRNA
Rfam family: Archaeal small subunit ribosomal RNA
Source: RNAcentral